GAUGAAGAACGUAGCGAAAUGCGAUACUUGGUGUGAAUUGCUGAAUCCCGUGAACCAUCGAGUCUUUGAACGCAAGUUGCGCCCGAAGCCAUUAGGCCGAGGGCACGCCUGCCUGGGCGUCACACGUCGUUGCCCCCCCAUCUACUCCUUCGGGAUUGCGGGGGGCGGAUGAUGGCCUCCCGUGCGCCUCGUCGCGCGGUUGGCAUAAAUGCCAAGUCCUCGGCGACGCACGCCACGACAAUCGGUGGUUGCGAAACCUCGGUUGCCCGUCGUGUGCGGUCGUCGCGCAUCGAGGGCUCGAAAAAAUUGCCGGGCUCCGGCUCGGCUUUCAACGCGACCCCAGGUCAGGCGGGGUUACCCGCUGAAUUUAAGCAUAUCAAUAAGCGGAGGA
RNAcentral lists this unclassified non-coding RNA (391 nucleotides) under soil metagenome. Its description in RNAcentral is "partial contains 5.8S ribosomal RNA, internal transcribed spacer 2, and large subunit ribosomal RNA". The stretch from base 1 to 122 matches the Rfam family "5.8S ribosomal RNA", at positions 35 to 154 of the family's 154-position model. The record is from RNAcentral.